GCCUAAAGGCCUUUAACACA
RNAcentral lists this transfer RNA (20 nucleotides) under Hyloxalus elachyhistus (Loja rocket frog). Its description in RNAcentral is "partial tRNA-Phe". Lineage: Eukaryota; Metazoa; Chordata; Amphibia; Anura; Dendrobatidae. The record is from RNAcentral.